RNAcentral lists this ribosomal RNA (495 nucleotides) under uncultured bacterium. RNAcentral's name for it is "partial 16S ribosomal RNA". It matches the Rfam family "Bacterial small subunit ribosomal RNA", at positions 28 to 507 of the family's 1533-position model. The record is from RNAcentral.
GACGAACGCUGGCGGCGUGCCUAAUACAUGCAAGUCGAACGCUCAAGGAGGAGCCUGCUCUUCCUGAUGAGUUGCGAACGGGUGAGUAACACGUAUGUAACCUGCCCCUUAGCGGGUGAUAACUCUUGGAAACGCUAGCUAAUACCGCAUAACAGUAUAUGUUGCACGACAUUUACUUAUAAAGUGCAGUUUCAUCACUACCAGUUGGACCUCCGUUGUAUUAUUUAGUUGGUGGGGUAACGGCUCAACAAGGCGACGAUGCAUAGCCGACCUGCGAGGGUGGUCGGCCCAACUGGGACUGAGGAAAGGCCCCAGAUCCUAGGGGAGGGAGGAGUUGGGAAACUUUGGCAAUGGAGGGAAAUCUGAACGAGGCACGCCGGGUGGAGGGAGGAGGGUUUUGGGUCGUAAAGCUCCGUUGUAUGGGAAGAACGAGAGGGAGAAUGAAAAGUUCACAUUGUGACGGUACCUAACCAGAAAGCGACGGCUAACUACGUG